AGGCACCACAACGGGUGGAGCUUGCGGUUUAAUUGGAUUCAACGCCGGAAAUCUUACCGGGACCGACAGCAAUAUGAAGGCCAGGCUGAAGACUUUGCCGGAUUAGCUGAGAGGUGGUGCAUGGCCGUCGUCAGUUCGUACUGUGAAGCAUCCUGUUAAGUCAGGCAACGAGCGAGACCCACGCCCACAGUUGCCAGCGUACUCUCUGGAGUGACGGGUACACUGUGGGGACCGCCGCUGCUAAAGCGGAGGAAGGAAUGGGCAACGGUAGGUCAGUAUGCCCCGAAUAUCCCGGGCUACACGCGAGCUACAAUGGUUGGUACAAUGGGUAUCUACCCCGAAAGGGGACGGGAAUCUCCUAAAACCAAUCUUAGUUCGGAUUGAGGGCUGCAACUCGCCCUCAUGAAGCUGGAAUCCGUAGUAAUCGCGUUUCAACAGAACGCGGUGAAUACGUCCCUGCUCCUU
RNAcentral lists this ribosomal RNA (465 nucleotides) under uncultured Methanosaeta sp. Its description in RNAcentral is "bacterial SSU rRNA". It matches the Rfam family "Archaeal small subunit ribosomal RNA", at positions 874 to 1338 of the family's 1478-position model. The record is from RNAcentral. Lineage: Archaea; Methanobacteriati; Methanobacteriota; Methanomicrobia; Methanotrichales; Methanotrichaceae.